GACGAACGCUGGCGGCGUGCUUAACACAUGCAAGUCGAACGGAAAGGCCCUGCUUUUGUGGGGUGCUCGAGUGGCGAACGGGUGAGUAACACGUGAGUAACCUGCCCUUGACUUUGGGAUAACUUCAGGAAACUGGGGCUAAUACCGGAUAGGAGCUCCUGCUGCAUGGUGGGGGUUGGAAAGUUUCGGCGGUUGGGGAUGGACUCGCGGCUUAUGAGCUUGUUGGUGGGGUAGUGGCUUACCAAGGCUUUGACGGGUAGCCGGCCUGAGAGGGUGACCGGCCACAUUGGGACUGAGAGACGGACCAGACGCCUACGGGAGGCAGCAGGGGGGAAUAUUGCACAAUGGGCGGAAGCGUGAUGCAGCAGCGCCGGGUGCGGGAUGACGGCCUUCGGGUUGUAAACAGCUGUCGCCUGUGACGAAGCGUGAGUGACGGUAAUGGGUAAAGAAGCACCGGCUAACUACGUG
This 468-nucleotide ribosomal RNA is filed under the name uncultured bacterium. Its description in RNAcentral is "partial 16S ribosomal RNA". It matches the Rfam family "Bacterial small subunit ribosomal RNA", at positions 28 to 507 of the family's 1533-position model. The record is from RNAcentral.